CGGCGACCUUCGGAGAGAUACGUGCGACCGUGGAGUGCGCCUGCGCAGCUUUGGAAGCCGCAGAAUGAAGAAGGAUGGAGGAGAGCAGUGUGGGAAAGGAAUAAGAAAAUAAUUGACCUGCAUAAUCAGGAAUACAGCCAAGGGAAACAUGGCUUCACCAUGGCAAUGAAUGCCUUUGGUGACAUGACCAAUGAAGAAUUUAGGCAGGUGAUGAAUGGUUUUCAAAAUCAGAAGCAUAAGAAGGGGAAAGUGUUCCGUGAACCUCUCCUUAUUGAUGUCCCCAAAUCUGUGGAUUGGACUAAGAAAGGCUAUGUAACUCCUGUGAAGAAUCAGGGUCAGUGUGGUUCUUGUUGGGCAUUUAGUGCCACCGGUGCUCUUGAAGGACAGAUGUUCCGGAAAACUGGCAAACUUGUUUCGCUGAGUGAGCAGAACCUGGUGGACUGCUCUCAGCCUCAAGGCAAUCAGGGUUGCAAUGGUGGCCUCAUGGAUAAUGCCUUCCAGUAUAUUAAGGACAACGGAGGCCUGGACUCAGAGGAAUCUUAUCCAUAUCUUGCAACGGACACAAAUAGCUGUAACUAUAAGCCUGAGUGUUCUGCUGCCAAUGACACUGGCUUCGUUGACAUCCCUCAGCGGGAGAAGGCCCUUAUGAAGGCAGUGGCAACUGUGGGUCCCAUCGCUGUUGCUAUUGAUGCAGGCCAUGCAUCCUUCCAGUUCUAUAAAUCAGGUAUUUAUUAUGAUCCAGACUGCAGCAGCAAAGACCUGGAUCAUGGUGUUUUGGUGGUUGGCUAUGGCUUUGAAGGAACAGAUUCAAAUAACAAUAAAUUUUGGAUUGUCAAGAACAGCUGGGGUCCAGAAUGGGGCUGGAAUGGCUACGUAAAAAUGGCCAAAGACCAGAACAACCAUUGUGGAAUUGCCACAGCAGCCAGCUAUCCCACUGUGUGAGCUGAUGGAUGGUGAUGGUAGAGGACUUGAGGACAGCAUAUCUGGAGGAAUUUUAUCUUUAAAACUGACCAAACCCUUACUGUAUAAGAUCAUACGCUUGAAUCAUUGAGGAUCCAAGUUGUGAUUUGAAUGCUGUGACAUUUUUAUAAGGGUAAAAUGUUACCACUACUUUAAUUACUAUUAUAAAUAGCUUUAUAAUGUUGAAGCCUCAUUGCUUAACUCUAAGACUUUUGAAUUUUCAUUUUUUAAAAGGAUAUAUAAAACUCUGCCUUUUACAAUAAAUUUUAAUUCAAUACA
This is a non-coding RNA of Odocoileus virginianus texanus, 1239 nucleotides long. The record is from RefSeq and is a predicted model, not a curated record. NCBI's taxonomy places the organism in Eukaryota, Metazoa, Chordata, Mammalia, Artiodactyla, Cervidae.